GCGGAGGAAAAGAAACCAACAGGGAUUGCCCCAGUAACGGCGAGUGAAGCGGCAACAGCUCAAAUUUGAAAUCUGGCGCAAGCCCGAGUUGUAAUUUGCAGAGGAUGCUUCAGGGCAGCGACCGGUCUAAGUUCCUUGGAACAGGACGUCGUAGAGGGUGAGAAUCCCGUAUGCGACCGGUUGGCACCCGUCACGUAGCUCCUUCGACGAGUCGAGUUGUUUGGGAAUGCAGCUCUAAAUGGGAGGUAAAUUUCUUCUAAAGCUAAAUACCGGCCAGAGACCGAUAGCGCACAAGUAGAGUGAUCGAAAGAUGAAAAGCACUUUGGAAAGAGAGUUAAAAAGCACGUGAAAUUGUUGAAAGGGAAGCGCAUGCAACCAGACUUGUCGGCGGUGUUCCGCCGGUCUUCUGACCGGUCCACUCGCCGCCGGCAGGCCAGCAUCAUCUGGGCGCGCCGGACAAAGGCGCGGGGAAUGUAGCUCCUCGGAGUGUUAUAGCCCCGCGCACAAUACGGCGCCGCUCGGGUGAGGUCCGCGCUUCGGCUAGGAUGCUGGCGUAAUGGUUGUCUGCGGCCCGUCUUGAAACACGGACCAAGGAGUCUAACAUCUAUGCGAGUGUUCGGGUGUCAAACCCCUACGCGGAAUGAAAGUGAACGGAGGUGGGAAGCGCAAGCUGCACCAUCGACCGAUCCUGAUGUCUUCGGAUGGAUUUGAGUAAGAGCAUAGCUGUUGGGACCCGAAAGAUGGUGAACUAUGCCUGAAUAGGGUGAAGCCAGAGGAAACUCUGGUGGAGGCUCGCAGCGGUUCUGACGUGCAAAUCGAUCGUCAAAUUUGGGUAUAGGGGCGAAAGACUAAUCGAACCAUCUAGUAGCUGGUUCCUGCCGAAGUUCC
RNAcentral lists this ribosomal RNA (888 nucleotides) under Teratosphaeria nubilosa. RNAcentral describes it as "eukaryotic LSU rRNA". It matches the Rfam family "Eukaryotic large subunit ribosomal RNA", at positions 50 to 970 of the family's 3401-position model. The record is from RNAcentral. Lineage: Eukaryota; Fungi; Ascomycota; Dothideomycetes; Mycosphaerellales; Teratosphaeriaceae.